Molecule: ribosomal RNA, 941 nt
Filed under: uncultured organism
Description: bacterial SSU rRNA
Rfam family: Bacterial small subunit ribosomal RNA
Source: RNAcentral
UGGGCGUAAAGGGUAUGUAGNCGGUCUAUUAAGUUAGAUGUGAAAAAUCUGGGCUCAACCGAGAUCUUGCGUCUAAUACUGAUAGGCUAGAGUCUCUGAGAGGAAGGCGGAAUUCCUGGUGUAGGGGUGAAAUCUAUAGAUAUCAGGAAGAACACCGGUUGCGAAGGCGGCCUUCUGGCAGAGGACUGACGCUGAGGUACGAAAGUUAGGGUAGCAAACAGGAUUAGAGACCCUGGUAGUCCUAACCGUAAACGUUGUAUACUAGGUGGUUGAAGUAUUGAUCCUUUGACUGCCGCAGCAAACGCAUUAAGUAUACCGCCUGGGGAGUAUGCCGGCAACGGUGAAACUCAAAGGAAUUGACGGGGCCCCGCACAAGCAGUGGAGCAUGUUGCCUAAUUCGAUGAUACGCGAGUAACCUUACCAGGUCUUGACAUAUACCUGUCUGGUGUAGAAAUACAUCAUUGCUUCGGCACGGGUAUACAGGUGCUGCAUGGUUGUCGUCAGCUCGUGCCGUGAGGUGUUGGGUUAAGUCCCGCAACGAGCGCAACCCUUAUUCUUUGUUGCUAACAGGUUAAGCUGAGCACUCUAAGGAGACUGCCGGUGACAAACCGGAGGAAGGUGGGGACGACGUCAAAUCAUCACGGCCCUUAUGACCUGGGCUGCAAACGUGCUACAAUGGGUGGUACAAAGAGUUGCGAGACCGCGAGGUGGAGCUAAUCUCAAAAAACUAUCCUCAGUUCGGAUUGGAGUCUGAAACCCGACUCUAUGAAGUUGGAAUUGCUAGUAAUCGCACAUCAUCAUGGUGCGGUGAAUACGUUCACCGGGGCUUGUACACACCGCCCGUCACAUCACCCGAGUUGAUAUACCCGAAGUACCUGAGCUAACGGUUUACACGGGGCAAGGUCCUAAGGUAAUGCUUGGCACGGGGGAUGAAGUCGUAA